AUGGUGGACAAGCCCGUGGACACUGGAGAAAGAGAAUACUUUCUGGGGGAGGAGCACAUCACCUGCAAGAGCAUGAAUCCCAUGUGGCUCUUCCUCUUCCUGCUGUCAGCUCCCAGAUGUGUCCUGUCCGAGGUGCAGCUGCAGGAGUCAGGCCCAGGACUGGUGAAGCCCUCACAGACCCUCUCCCUCACCUGUGCUGUCUCUGGUUACUCCAUCACCAGUGGUUACUGCUGGCAUUGGAUCCGACAGGCCCUGGGGAAGGGGCUGGAGUGGAUGGGGCGCAUAUGUAGUGAUGGGAGCACUAACUACAGCCCCUCCCUCAAGAGCCGAACCUCCAUCUCCAGAGACACGUCCAAGAACCAGUUCUCCCUGCCGCUGAGCUCCGUGACCACCGAGGACACAGCCAUGUAUUAUGGUGCAAGAGACACAGUGCAGCUGCAGGAGUCGGGCUCCACAGUGGUGCAGCCCUCGCAAACCCUGUCCCUCACCUGCGCCAUCUCUGGGGACAGUGUCUCCAGCAACAGUGUAGCUUGGCACUGGAUCAGGCAGCCCCCAGGGAAAGGGCUCUAA
Myotis brandtii (Brandt's bat) is the source of this 570-nucleotide non-coding RNA. Lineage: Eukaryota; Metazoa; Chordata; Mammalia; Chiroptera; Vespertilionidae. The record is from the annotation of a RefSeq genome assembly.